AUGUUUCAGGAACAUAGCAGAUGUUGCCACGCACCGGCAUUCAACAUGUCCUUUGAAACUCACCAAGUUUGCAGCAAGCAUGCCCCUUUAGCAUGCCGUUCGAAACUCACUAAAGUUGCAGCAACCACGCCCCGGCCUUGCAGCACGGCAUCUUGGUGCCUGUCGGAGUUGCGAUGCCGGCUACACACUUCCUUGCAGCACGCUGUUCUGGUGCUUGCUGGAGCUGCUAUGUCAGCCUGCAGCAGCCACACCUCUGCCCUUGCAGCACACCGCCUGGAGCUCGCCGGAUUUGGGAUGCCGGCUUAA
Molecule: ribosomal RNA, 306 nt
Filed under: Triticum aestivum (bread wheat)
Lineage: Eukaryota; Viridiplantae; Streptophyta; Magnoliopsida; Poales; Poaceae
Description: partial small subunit ribosomal RNA
Source: RNAcentral